GGGGCGGUAGCUCAGUCGGUUAGAGCAGACGACUCAUAAUCGUCCAGGCGCGGGUUCAAGUCCCGCCCGCCCCACCA
This 77-nucleotide transfer RNA is filed under the name Actinomycetota bacterium. RNAcentral describes it as "tRNA-Ile". It matches the Rfam family "tRNA". From Rfam's summary of the family: Transfer RNA (tRNA) molecules are approximately 80 nucleotides in length. Their secondary structure includes four short double-helical elements and three loops (D, anti-codon, and T loops). Lineage: Bacteria; Bacillati; Actinomycetota. The record is from RNAcentral.